Molecule: non-coding RNA, 32 nt
Filed under: Chrysotila carterae
Lineage: Eukaryota; Haptophyta; Isochrysidales; Isochrysidaceae
Source: RNAcentral
UCAAUGUGUCCCUUCAAAUAUGUAAACUAUUA